Molecule: ribosomal RNA, 519 nt
Filed under: Bacillus sp. BnMSX21
Lineage: Bacteria; Bacillati; Bacillota; Bacilli; Caryophanales; Bacillaceae
Description: bacterial SSU rRNA
Rfam family: Bacterial small subunit ribosomal RNA
Source: RNAcentral
AACGCUGGCGGCGUGCCUAAUACAUGCAAGUCGAGCGGACUGAUUAAGAGCUUGCUCUUAUGACGUUAGCGGCGGACGGGUGAGUAACACGUGGGCAACCUGCCCUGUAGAUCGGGAUAACACCGAGAAAUCGGUGCUAAUACCGGGUAACAUCUGAGAUCACAUGAUCUUAGGUUAAAAGAUGGCUNCGGCUAUCACUACAGGAUGGGCCCGCGGCGCAUUAGCUAGUUGGUAAGGUAAUGGCUUACCAAGGCGACGAUGCGUAGCCGACCUGAGAGGGUGAUCGGCCACACUGGGACUGAGACACGGCCCAGACUCCUACGGGAGGCAGCAGUAGGGAAUCUUCCGCAAUGGACGAAAGUCUGACGGAGCAACGCCGCGUGAGUGAUGAAGGGUUUCGGCUCGUAAAGCUCUGUUGUUAGGGAAGAACAAGUACCGUUCNAAUAGGGCGGUACCUUGACGGUACCUAACCAGAAAGCCACGGCUAACUACGUGCCAGCAGCCCGCGGUAAUACGUAG